UACGGAGGGAGCUAGCGUUGUUCGGAAUUACUGGGCGUAAAGCGUGCGCAGGCGGUCCAGCAAGUCGGGGGUGAAAACCCGGGGCUCAACCCCGGAAUUGCCUCCGAAGCUGCUGGACUUGAAUACGAGAGAGGGUCGCGGAAUUCUUGGUGUAGAGGUGAAAUUCGUAGAUAUCAGGAAGAACACCAGUGGCGAAAGCGGCGACCUGGCUCGAUAUUGACGCUCAUGCACGAAAGCGUGGGGAGCAAACAGGAUUAGAAACCCCAGUAGU
RNAcentral lists this ribosomal RNA (271 nucleotides) under uncultured bacterium. RNAcentral's name for it is "partial 16S ribosomal RNA". It matches the Rfam family "Bacterial small subunit ribosomal RNA", at positions 524 to 794 of the family's 1533-position model. The record is from RNAcentral.